ACUAUCCUUUUCUUGGGGCUGUGCUACUGUCCAAUGAGCGCAUAGUAAGGGCAGUACUGCUAACAACUAACAUGCUCGCAUCAGGAGCUUUGCUUUAUAUUGGUGCAAUUUUUGGAAAA
Small nuclear RNA from Otolemur garnettii (small-eared galago), 119 nucleotides. NCBI's taxonomy places the organism in Eukaryota, Metazoa, Chordata, Mammalia, Primates, Galagidae. The record is from Ensembl.